CUUGGUCAUUUAGAGGAAGUAAAAGUCGUAACAAGGUUUCCGUAGGUGAACCUGCGGAAGGAUCAUUACAAGUGAGGCUACCGAACGUUGGAAACAGCGGUUAGGAGCUUACACCCACCCGUGUUUACAUACUAUUGUUGCUUUGGCGGGCCGUGGCCUCCACUGCGGGCUCUGCUCGUGUGUGCCCGCCAGAGAACCAAACUCUGAAUGUUAGUGAUGUCUGAGUACUAUCUAAUAGUUAAAACUUUCAACAACGGAUCUCUUGGUUCUGGCAUCGAUGAAGAACGCAGCGAAAUGCGAUAAGUAAUGUGAAUUGCAGAAUUCAGUGAAUCAUCGAAUCUUUGAACGCACAUUGCGCCCUGUGGUAUUCCGCAGGGCAUGCCUGUUCGAGCGUCAUUUAACCACUCACGCCUAGCGUGGUAUUGGGGCACGCGGUCUCCGCGGCCCUCAAAAUUAGUGGCGGCGCCGGUGGGCUCUAAGCGUAGUACAUACUCCCGCUAUAGAGUUCCCCCGGUGGCUCGCCAGAACCCCCAAUUUUUACAGGUUGACCUCGGAUCAGGUAGGGAUACCCGCUGAACUUAAGCAUAUCAAUAAGCGGAGGA
This 602-nucleotide small RNA is filed under the name uncultured Phialocephala. Its description in RNAcentral is "eukaryotic LSU rRNA". The stretch from base 243 to 396 matches the Rfam family "5.8S ribosomal RNA". The record is from RNAcentral. Lineage: Eukaryota; Fungi; Ascomycota; Leotiomycetes; Helotiales.